This 293-nucleotide unclassified non-coding RNA is filed under the name Hevea brasiliensis (rubber tree). Lineage: Eukaryota; Viridiplantae; Streptophyta; Magnoliopsida; Malpighiales; Euphorbiaceae. The record is from RNAcentral.
AAAUUGGACGAGACUGUUGCUAUGAAUAGGACAAUAUAUGAAAGAGGCUAACUGAAUAGGCUAUCAACCUGAAAAUAAGGAUCUGGAAGCGUCCUUACCAAGUUUCUCCAUUUGGUGGAUUUGCAAAUACUUCUGGCAAGGGGAAUUAGGAAGGUAUUUUUAUGUGGUUCUAGAAUCAAAGAUGAGUUUGGAAGAGAUUUAGAUGUCAAAAUGUGAAGAAUAUAGGGCCAGAGUAGUACACGGGUCGUGUAACUUGCCCCGUAUAACUUCCUGGAUCCCAUGCAACUCUCCGG